AGACGUCUACAUUAGAUACCCGUGUAGUCCCAGCCGUAAACUAUGCGCGUUAGGUGUAUCGGUGACCACGAGUUACCGAGGUGCCGAAGGGAAACCGUGAAACGUGCCGCCUGGGAAGUACGGUCGCAAGGCUGAACUUAAAGGAAUUGGCGGGGGAGCACCACAACAGGUGGAGCCUGCGGUUUAAUUGGACUCAACGCCGGGAAGCUCACCGGAUAGGACAGCAGAAUGAUUGCCGGGCUGAAGACUCUGCAUGACUAGCUG
Molecule: ribosomal RNA, 264 nt
Filed under: uncultured archaeon
Lineage: Archaea
Description: partial 16S ribosomal RNA
Rfam family: Archaeal small subunit ribosomal RNA
Source: RNAcentral